Molecule: long non-coding RNA, 2049 nt
Organism: Solanum dulcamara
Lineage: Eukaryota; Viridiplantae; Streptophyta; Magnoliopsida; Solanales; Solanaceae
Exons: 2
Source: RefSeq, a predicted model, not a curated record
CUAUCUGCGUCCUUCUCCUGUCCUUAAUUUGAAUUGUAUUUUUAAAAUUUCUUUGUUGAUUUCUCUAGAUAGAUUUUCUGUGUUAUUUUUUGCAUGUGCUUGAACUGGAAGUUCAUGGUUUUAAUGGAAAAUUGCUGCUCAUUAGAUAUUUCUCUGUUUUAGGUUUGCAUCUUUUUGGUGAUUUUCCCCUAUUAUAGCAUUUUAGAGCCCGUUUGGAUUACCUUAUAAAUUGUUUAUUAGCUUCUUUCAAUUUUUUUAAGUAUUUGUCUGACCAACUUAAAAUCAUUAAAACUACUUAUAAGAAAAAAAAAAAAAACAAGUUAGUAUUCUCUUUGUGCCAACAUCUUGAGAAAAAAUCAAAAAAGGUUCUUAGAUUUUUCUCGAUAUUUACGUUGGCAGGAAGAUAAACUAUAGUUUCUUAACGGAUGUUUUUAUACUUUAAUUUUCCAAUUAUUUGAUCUUCUUUAUUCUUAAUUUGCUUGACAUGCUACAAAUGAAUAGUUGUUUUGAGUAUAUGCCUGAAAUAAAAUUAAUGAUUAUUCUUGUUAUUGAGAGGUUUUAGGUUCCUCCACUUAAAAUUGGACAUCAUGGAAAAUAAUGGAGUUGAUAAACUUCAAGAAGAAUGGAUUUCCACCUAUAAGAAUGAAAUUCAUCUUUAUUGAUGAUUCCCUUUUCCCCAUAUACUUUUUCAUAAUUGGAGAAGAUUUUUUUUUUUGAUAGAAAUAUUGAGAAGUACUGUUGAAAAUGAUACAACGAAAUUUAGAUGACAUGGGGAUGUUUACUUUACAGGAAAUAUCGUAGUAGAAUCGCGGAGGGGGAUGGUGGUUAUUUUUCAGGAAAUAUGGGAAUAUGAUCUUCUGAUUAAAUAUUUAUAUCAUCAUAAUUUUCUUUUGCUUUUGUGGUCUGUGGAAUAUGAGUUUUAAUGGAGAUUUCAGAGGGAUCCAGCGGAGUCCCUUUCCUUUGUCUCAAAUAUACACAAUCUGAGUAUUUCUUUGUUUGGUAUUUUUUUUCAGUUACGAAGAAUGAUAACAAUGCAAAAUGAGAAUAUUUUCCUUUUACUGGCAAACACAUCUGCUCACCUCAAAUAUUGAUUUGCUAUCAAAAUAUGUGUGAAAUUGCAUACUACUGAGAAGUAUUGCACACUAUUACAACCACUAAUAUGAAAUUUUACUCAAUUCAAUUAAGAAAUCAACACUCAUAUGUUGCCUUAACGGCUAAAUUGAAUCAGAUAUUUCAUCCAUGUUUUGGAUUGUAUUGUGCGGAUAACAUGAUAGAAAUUGUCUGUGUUACUUUAAUAUUUAUCUUCUGCAUCGCUUCUAGAAUGCCGGUAAGUUUAUUAAAUUGGCAGAUGUUCACAAACGAAGUACGGUGGAGUAUUUCUUCAAUAGUCUUCUUAAAAGACCUUCCUCUCGAAGCAGUCGAGAUUGUGCUAGAAUCCAUGUACAAUGGAAAACUUAGCAGAUGACUUCAAGGUAACACUUUUCUGUCAACGAGUGCUGCAAAAAAUUACUACCCUGCCUCUCAAAGGAAUCAAGGAGCCCCAACUAUUCAAGUGAUAGCAUUUAUUCUCUCCAUAUAAACUCAUUGAAAAACAUGUGAGACGAUAUUUUUGAUGCACCUUGAUCUUAAACCUAAUAUUAGUAACAAUUAUAUUAUGGUUUGGUUGUUAAUUAGGUUACAAAGAGGAAAGUUAAGAAUGGAUGGAAGAAUUGGAAGUGGAGGUCUUCAAAGGAUAAACUCAUGAAUGGAGUCUAUUUUAUACCAUGUACUUAUGGGACUACUAAUCCAUAUUACUCAAAGGCUCAAUCAUUCCCAAUGGCUGAUGGAUCUACGAUACCUUCUUUAAGUGUUGACGCUGGACCUUUGCAUUGCACUGCCUAUAAAUGUUAACACUUUUUAUUUUCCAAUGGAGGCUAUGAUUUUACAUUCUAAUUUUCUUAAAACGUGAUUAUUAGUUCUAGCUUUCAGUUUCUCUUUCCUUUUAUCGACUUACUUCAUGUAAUGAAGAAAAGAAAAUAUAAUUUCAAGAUGGAAUGAUCUAUUUAUUAA